This 77-nucleotide transfer RNA is filed under the name Yoonia sp. RNAcentral's name for it is "tRNA-Arg". It matches the Rfam family "tRNA". Rfam says of the family: Transfer RNA (tRNA) molecules are approximately 80 nucleotides in length. Their secondary structure includes four short double-helical elements and three loops (D, anti-codon, and T loops). The record is from RNAcentral. Lineage: Bacteria; Pseudomonadati; Pseudomonadota; Alphaproteobacteria; Rhodobacterales; Paracoccaceae. RNAcentral also lists the same sequence under 1 other name.
GCACCCAUAGCUCAGCUGGAUAGAGCGCUGCCCUCCGAAGGCAGAGGUCACAGGUUCGAAUCCUGUUGGGUGCACCA